CACGUAGUUAGCCGGUGCUUCUUAUACAGGUACCGUCACAAAAAGCUUCGUCCCUGUCGAAAGGAGUUUACAACCCGAAGGCCGUCAUCCCCCACGCGGCGUCGCUGCAUCAGGCUUCCGCCCAUUGUGCAAUAUUCCCCACUGCUGCCUCCCGUAGGAGUCUGGGCCGUAUCUCAGUCCUAAUGUGGCCGUACACCCUCUCAGGCCGGCUACCCGUCGACGCCUUGGUAGGCCAUUACCCCACCAACAAGCUGAUAGGCCGCGAGCUCAUCUUGCACCGAAAAAACUUUCCAACCACCACACUAAAGGCAGUUCAUAUCCGGUAUUAGACCCAGUUUCCCAAGCUUAUCCCAGAGUGCAAGGCAGAUCACCCACGUGUUACUCACCCGUUCGCCACUCGAGUACCCCUGCAAGCAGGGGCCUUUCCGUUCGACUUGCAUGUGUUAAGCACGCCGCCAGCGUUCGUCCUGACGCCGACGGAUCAAACUCUA
RNAcentral lists this ribosomal RNA (491 nucleotides) under uncultured Corynebacterium sp. RNAcentral's name for it is "partial 16S ribosomal RNA". Lineage: Bacteria; Bacillati; Actinomycetota; Actinomycetes; Mycobacteriales; Corynebacteriaceae. The record is from RNAcentral.